GCAUGUUGCGGUUUAGUCUCUAGGAUCGAGAUCAUGGUGAUCUGGACUGUGUUUUUCCCAUGUAUAUAAGAUGACGUAAACACCAGCAGUAUCACCUAUGCAUUGAAUGCAGGAGCUCAGGUCAUACCAACCUGGUAUGUUGUUAUCAUUGUUAUUUCAAUUAUAUUUAUUAUUGUAUAUUAUGUAACAUCCAUCAUAUUUGUAAAUGUUUAUAGUAUUCAUUUAUAUAUCUGUGGAGUUGUCACGGUAACGUGUUGGCAACAGUAGUUAUGAUUAGUAAUUAUGUAUUUGGAUAAGUUAAUUCACUUGUUAUGUAGUAAUGUGAUUCCUGUCAAUUGAUUGUAAACUUAUACUGCAUUUUAACAUGUUUCAGGCUAAAGCUUUUGUUUAUUACAUUCUUGUAAUAAAAGUCCAUCCGCCUCACA
Molecule: long non-coding RNA, 425 nt
Organism: Haliotis rubra (blacklip abalone)
Lineage: Eukaryota; Metazoa; Mollusca; Gastropoda; Lepetellida; Haliotidae
Exons: 2
Source: RefSeq, a predicted model, not a curated record